This 254-nucleotide ribosomal RNA is filed under the name uncultured bacterium. RNAcentral's name for it is "partial 16S ribosomal RNA". It matches the Rfam family "Bacterial small subunit ribosomal RNA", at positions 524 to 776 of the family's 1533-position model. The record is from RNAcentral.
AACGUAGGUGGCGAGCGUUAUCCGGAUUUACUGGGCGUAAAGCGUGUGCAGGCGGGUGGACAAGUGGUGUAUGAAAUCGCCAGGCUAAACCUGGCGGGGUUAUGCCAGACUGGUUUAUCUGGAGUGCGAGAGAGGGGCGUGGAAUUCCGGGUGUAGUGGUGAAAUGCGUAGAGAUCCGGAGGAACCCCAGAGGCGAAGGCGGCGCCCUGGCUCGCAACUGACGCUCAGACACGACAGCAUGGGGAGCGAACGGG